GAUGUUAGAUGGUCAGUUGUGCUUACUCCACCACAAAGAGACUUUGAAGAUAGAUAUAACAACGAUGAACUUGGUGAUACAAUACUACAGUGUGAAGGAAUACCCAAUGGUAUGCCAGAUGUUGACUUAAAUAAUGACUUGGAUGACAACAUCUUAACAUACGUACGAGCAGAUUGUGAAGGCACAUGGAUACCUACAUAAUAUUAUAAGCCUUUGAUUCAUACAUCACAUGGAUAACUUUAGUGAUGAAGAAGCUGGUGUUGAAAAUGAAACCCCAAAGCAGAUAUGUAGACCACGAGGACCAACUAUUAUGUUCGAUGUCACUCGCAUUAGAAGUUUGGGAGAGAAGAAGGUGGUGAUGUACAAUGAAGACGGAGUACCCAUUGGUGAGAAUGGAGCAAAGUUGAAGUCUUUCAUAGGAUCUGCGACACAUUAUCAUGUCCCGAUCACAUAUUCAUCGUGGAAAAGUGUGCCGGUAGAGCUGAAAGAUAAAAUAUUCAGUACGGUUGAGGCCGCAUUCGUCAUUGAUCCAAGAUCUAGG
This is a long non-coding RNA of Cucumis sativus (cucumber), 541 nucleotides long. RefSeq lists it as uncharacterized. The record is from RefSeq and is a predicted model, not a curated record. NCBI's taxonomy places the organism in Eukaryota, Viridiplantae, Streptophyta, Magnoliopsida, Cucurbitales, Cucurbitaceae. The transcript has 3 exons.